UAACAUUUAUUUCUGCAUUCGGUAUCAAGUACAUAAGUGCAAAUAUUCAGAGUCCAUAAUUAAGUCCAUUAGGAACUACAGAGAAUGUAAUACAAAUCGUAAUAAAUUGAACAUGCUGGAACUUUCCAGUUACCAUACAUGUAAAUCAGCCUGUCAAUCCUUUACGACAAAAGUACUGGGUUUUGUGUUUUUUCUUUUCUUUUUUUUUUUUUUUUUGAUUUAUACAAAACUGAUUACCAUAAGUACCGAUUACUGUUUAUUUUAUUUGUGCUGGAAAACACUAAAACAUCAGUCUACAAUUCUAUAUAGUUAAUAAAGAUGAAUCCAACCAGCAACCCAGUGACGUAGAAGCAAUUUUAACUAUUGCAUCAAGUGCGCUAAGCAGGAAAGCCCCUAGCCACAUGUAACAUUAAAAGUUAUAGAAGCAAUGCCAAUAGAAGAAGGAAAAACACUAAAAAAAAAA
Ficedula albicollis (Collared flycatcher) is the source of this 463-nucleotide long non-coding RNA. RefSeq lists it as uncharacterized. The record is from RefSeq and is a predicted model, not a curated record. NCBI's taxonomy places the organism in Eukaryota, Metazoa, Chordata, Aves, Passeriformes, Muscicapidae. The transcript is spliced from 2 exons.